AGCAACCGGAGGCGGCGGCGCGUCUGGAGGAGGCUGCAGCAGCGGAAGACCCCAGUCCAGUCUUGCAGGUCUCCCGAGGGCAGAAGGUGACCAGCCUAACGGCCUGCCUAGUGGACCAGAGCCUUCGUCUCGACUGCCGCCAUGAGAAUACCACCACUUCACCCAUCCAGUACGAGUUCAGCCUGACCCGUGAGACAAAGAAGCAUGUGCUCUUUGGCACUGUCGGGGUGCCUGAGCACACAUACCGCUCCCGAACCAACUUCACCAGCAAAUACAACAUGAAGGUCCUCUACUUAUCCGCCUUCACUAGCAAGGAUGAGGGGACCUACACGUGCGCACUCCACCACUCUGGCCAUUCCCCACCCAUCUCCUCCCAGAACGUCACUGUGCUCAGAGACAAACUGGUCAAGUGUGAGGGCAUCAGCCUGCUGGCUCAGAACACCUCGUGGCUGCUGCUGCUCCUGCUCUCCCUCUCCCUCCUCCAGGCCACGGAUUUCAUGUCCCUGUGACUGGUGGGGCCCAUGGAGGAGACAGGAAGCCUCAAGUUCCAGUGCAGAGAUCCUACUUCUCUGAGUCAGCUGACCCCCUCCCCCCAAUCCCUCAAACCUU
RNAcentral lists this small RNA (609 nucleotides) under Pongo abelii (Sumatran orangutan). RNAcentral describes it as "processed transcript". Lineage: Eukaryota; Metazoa; Chordata; Mammalia; Primates; Hominidae. The record is from RNAcentral.